Molecule: long non-coding RNA, 222 nt
Filed under: Lathyrus oleraceus (garden pea)
Lineage: Eukaryota; Viridiplantae; Streptophyta; Magnoliopsida; Fabales; Fabaceae
Description: Pisum sativum (pea) long non-coding RNA (PSAT_LNC020848)
Source: RNAcentral
CUGGUUAGCGUUUGUUAUUGUUAGGAGUCGGAUAUAAGUCCAUGUAUUGGCAUUCUGUUUCCUCUUGUUGGGUUAUUGUUAGGAGUCGGGUGUAAGUCCAUGUAUUGGCAUUCUGUUUCCUUCUUUUUAUUGUUGUUAGGAGUCGGGUGUAAGUCCAUGUAUUGGCAUUCUGUUUCCUUUUGAAUGUUUCUUUUGACAUCUCAGUGUCCCUUUUUGGUGUCU